RNAcentral lists this signal recognition particle RNA (263 nucleotides) under Saimiri boliviensis boliviensis (Bolivian squirrel monkey). RNAcentral describes it as "Metazoan signal recognition particle RNA (ENSSBOG00000013777.1)". It matches the Rfam family "Metazoan signal recognition particle RNA", at positions 1 to 266 of the family's 299-position model. Rfam says of the family: The signal recognition particle (SRP) is a universally conserved ribonucleoprotein. It is involved in the co-translational targeting of proteins to membranes. The eukaryotic SRP consists of a 300-nucleotide 7S RNA and six proteins: SRPs 72, 68, 54, 19, 14, and 9. The record is from RNAcentral. Lineage: Eukaryota; Metazoa; Chordata; Mammalia; Primates; Cebidae.
GCUGCGUGUGGUGGGUGUGCCUGUAGUCCCAGCUACUUAGGAGGCUGAGGCUGGAGGAUGCUUGAGUCCAGCUCUGGGCUGUAAUGCGCUAUGCUGAUUGGGGGCCCACACUAAGUUGGGCAUCAAUAUGGUCACCUCCCGGAAGCGGGGGACCACCAGGUUGCCUAAGGAGGGGUAAACCGGCCCAGGUCGGAAACGGAGCACGUGAAAACUCCUGUACUACCGGCCGGGCGCGGUGGCUCAAGCCUGUAAUCCCAGCACUU